CAGCGGGAUGCAGCAGGGGUGGAAGGGGGGACACGUCCGAGCCACCUCCCCCGGGCGCCUGGCUCGCCACUCUGUCUCCUGCAUUCCAGAGGAUGCGGCUCGCUUGGGUUGCAAAACGUGCGACCAGUUCGGUUUUGCUCUCCCCCGCCACACCAGGAAAAAUAAAAAAAAUAAUUAAAAAGCGCACCUGGAGCGGGGAGAGCGUUUGCCUGGCUGCGGAUGGGGGAGCUGCUGGCAGAGCAGGGGCCGUGGGCUGGGGUGUGCGGGGGCUGUCCCGGGCUCGGGCUGCCCUGAACUGGGGAGGGGACAGAGGACUGGGGCUGCGAACGAAAAUCCCGGCUCGGGGCAGGUGUGAGAAGGUGCGAGCGCUUCGGCUGCGGAUGCCUUCGAUGAGCACGGCAAGGGGGAGGGAGAGAGACGCUUUGGGUACCAAACUGAUCUCCCGGCUCUUGGCAGCUAAAGGAGGAUGCCUGGAUCUCUGAAUGGGGAAGGAAAGCGCCUUGAAGAGAAGAAACUACAGGGCUACGUUGUUUCCAUCGUCACUGAGAAAUGUGUAGCACUCCCAGGUUUCAAACAUACCUGAUUGUAUUUAGUUGUGGCAGAUCAAGAAAUCGUUGAGUGCUUCAGAGCAAAUGGAUGGGACAAAAUAAUCGGUUUUGAAAGGAAGAAUUGGACUGCAGGCAUUUAACAGUCAGUGUGAUGCUUGUGUUCAUUCUGCUGGUUCCCAGGGUAGUGCCAGUGCUUUUUACACUGCAGCAGGCUCUGCUGAUGUUUACUCCCAUCUCUUCUUGCAGCUUACAAAGAGACUCAGGAUUCUUUCCAAUUAUCUGUUAUUAUCUGCUGUUAUAGUGAGAACAGUGAGUCUGGACAUGAGGCAUUGUCAUUCAAGGCUUAUGGACAAUAUAUUGAUGGACUUUCAUUAAACACUGGGGCUGUGCAGCAGGAGGGAAUCCUGUCCCUGACAGGCUUGCAGAAUACUGAGUAUCACUUUAAUACCUAACUUUUAAGUAUUCUAUGCAAUUCUCUUCUUUAUGCCUUAUAAAAAUCCAGAUUAAGAUCUGUUUUGGGAUUAUAGAAGGUAUGAGUGGCAUUAUCUAUCUCAAGUGUAGAUAUAUGGAAGCACACCUAGGAAAUGCUCAGUAAAGAUUUCCAUUGAUGUUUACUAAACUCCUUUACUCAAACAGAUUAAUGUUUUCCAUGAAUUUGCUUGUGAAUUCUCUGUUGAAUUUUCCAAAUAAUUUGUUACAAUAACAUCCCAAUCCAGAACAUAAUAAACCCCCAAAGGGACCUUGUCUUUUAUAUUUACACA
Catharus ustulatus (Swainson's thrush) is the source of this 1309-nucleotide long non-coding RNA. RefSeq lists it as uncharacterized. Lineage: Eukaryota; Metazoa; Chordata; Aves; Passeriformes; Turdidae. The transcript is spliced from 2 exons. The record is from RefSeq and is a predicted model, not a curated record.